UUCGUAGGGUGCGAGCGUUGCCCGGAUUUAUUGGGCGUAAAGGGCGCGUAGGCGGCUCUGCACGUCCGUUGUGAAAUCGCCCGGCUCAACUGGGCGGGGUCAGCGGAUACGGCGGAGCUUGAGCAAGCUAGGGGGCAAUGGAAUUCCCGGUGUAGUGGUGGAAUGCGUAGAUAUCGGGAGGAACACCAGUGGCGAAGGCGGUUGCCUGGGGCUUUGCUGACGCUGAUGCGCGAAAGCGUGGGGAGCGAACAGG
Molecule: ribosomal RNA, 253 nt
Filed under: uncultured bacterium
Lineage: Bacteria
Description: partial 16S ribosomal RNA
Rfam family: Bacterial small subunit ribosomal RNA
Source: RNAcentral